AACGAACGCUAGCGGCAUGCCUCAAACAUGCAAGUCGAACGAGAAAGUACCUUCGGGUGCGAGUAAAGUGGCGCACGGGUGCGUAACACGUAGCUAACCUACCUUUUUGCUGAGGAUAACUCCGGGAAACCGGAGCUAAUACUGAAUAGUCUGACUCUGAUUACGGUCUAGGUCAGUAAAGCCUUCGGGCGCGAAAAGAUGGGGCUGCGGCCUAUUAGCUUGUUGGUGGGGUAAAAGCCUACCAAGGCUGCGAUAGGUAGCUGGUCUGAGAGGAUGAUCAGCCACACUGGAACUGAAACACGGUCCAGACACCCACGGGUGGCAGCAGUUGGGAAUAUUGGACAAUGGGGGAAACCCUGAUCCAGCAAUGCCGCGUGAGUGAUGAAGGCCCUAGGGUCGUAAAGCUCUUUCAGCGGGGAAGAAGGGAAACUUGACGGUACCCGCAGAAGAAGCACCGGCUAACUCCG
RNAcentral lists this ribosomal RNA (467 nucleotides) under uncultured Pseudomonadota bacterium. Its description in RNAcentral is "bacterial SSU rRNA". It matches the Rfam family "Bacterial small subunit ribosomal RNA", at positions 29 to 505 of the family's 1533-position model. The record is from RNAcentral. Lineage: Bacteria; Pseudomonadati; Pseudomonadota.